UACGUAGGGUGCGAGCGUUGUCCGGAAUUAUUGGGCGUAAAGAGCUCGUAGGCGGUGCGUCACGUCGGCCGUGAAAACCUGCAGCUUAACUGUGGGCGUGCGGUCGAUACGGGCAUCACUGGAGUUCGGCAAGGGAGACUGGAAUUCCUGGUGUAGCGGUGAAAUGCGCAGAUAUCGGGAGGAACACCGGUGGCGAAGGCGGGUCUCUGGGCCGAUACUGACGCUGAGGAGCGAAAGCGUGGGGAGCGAACAGG
Molecule: ribosomal RNA, 254 nt
Filed under: uncultured bacterium
Lineage: Bacteria
Description: partial 16S ribosomal RNA
Rfam family: Bacterial small subunit ribosomal RNA
Source: RNAcentral